This 407-nucleotide ribosomal RNA is filed under the name uncultured bacterium. RNAcentral describes it as "partial 16S ribosomal RNA". It matches the Rfam family "Bacterial small subunit ribosomal RNA", at positions 30 to 526 of the family's 1533-position model. The record is from RNAcentral.
AUUGAACGCUGGCGGCAGGCCUAACACAUGCAAGUCGAGCGGAGCGGCCGACGGGUGAGUAAUGCCUAGGAAUCUGCCUGGCAGUGGGGGAUAACGUCCGGAAAGGGCCGCUAAUCCCGCAUCCUUUUAGCUGCGCCUAGGCGGGUUUAGCUAGUUGGGGGGGUAAAGGCCUACCAAGGCGACGAUCCGUAACUGGUCUGAGAGGAUGAUCAGUCACACUGGAACUGAGACACGGUCCAGACUCCUACGGGAGGCAGCAGUGGGGAAUAUUGGACAAUGGGCGAAAGCCUGAUCCAGCCAUGCCGCGUGUGUGAAGAAGGUCUUCGGAUUGUAAAGCACUUUAAGUUGGGAGGCGUUACCAACAGAAUAAGCACCGGCUAACUUCGUGCCAGCAGCCGCGGUAAUAC